Molecule: non-coding RNA, 1410 nt
Filed under: Pan troglodytes (chimpanzee)
Lineage: Eukaryota; Metazoa; Chordata; Mammalia; Primates; Hominidae
Source: RNAcentral
ACAGCAGUUACUGUUUAAACAGGUGGUGGCUGUGGAGGGUUGGGAGGGACUAGGCUUCAGUACCAGGCAUGGACAGGCACAUGCCACAAGGGCCUCUGCAUCAGCCACAUGGAACUGGCCUACCCCUGUUCCCAUGUCCCCCUCCUCCUGACCUUUCCCCCAUCACUUCUUCCUGUCAGCUGAGAGGUACCCUGGAUUGACCCUGCCUCUCUGGCUUGGCUUUCCUGUCCCCAUAGUGGGUGAUGGGGCCACUUACCAGCUUCCGAAGGGCUCCCUCAUCCAGCCCAGCUAAGGCCUCGUCCGCCAUCUCGCUGGCCCCUAGCUCCGUUGGUUCCUUUCUGGUGAGAUCCCCAGUGCCUGUGGCACCUGUCACCAGCUCAGAGAAUUCUGCAGGGGACAGACAUGAAUCAGGCAUGCUGGGGCUUCUAGAAACCACAGGCACUUAGGCUCUGUGCCUUACUUUCCCUCUCUAACCUAGGAGCGUCCAUUACUGUCCCAUCCUAUAAUGUGGCUCCUGGCUGGAAGCUGCCCUCUGCCCUAGGGUGGUUUGCUGGAAAACUCACCAAACCCAGGGUAGGGGGUCUCUGGUUCCAGCCCUGCCAGCUUGGCCGCCAGUCUGCUGUGUGGCCUGGGAUAGACUCUCAUCCUGUCUAAACCUCAAAACAGGGAGGGCAGGGACCUGGAUUGAGAAGCCAGGGCCUGGCAAGACCCACCCAAGCUGUGCUUACCACCAGGGGGUGCACUCCAGUCUCCAGUUUCCUGCCCCACCCACCCAUCCACAGGGCCUACCCAGCCCCCACCCACUCCGCAGGCUCAGCUUCUGGCUGUGGGCUGAACCUGUAGUUCUUGCUGCCACCACCACUGUCAUUCCCCCAGGUAUAGGAAGGUACACUGUGUCUUCCGAUUCUUGGAGCCAGCUCUGCUGUCCAGACCUCCUGAAGCCAGGUGUCCAGGCACCCAGCACCUCCUGCCAAUUCAUACAGAAUUCAAUUCCCCACCUGGAAGGGCUUUCAGAAGCUGACCUGCCUAACCCCUGGAUUUCAGGCAAACUGAGAAGAUUGGAGAGGGCCAAGGAUUUGUCACUGAGCAAGGAGGAAGCCAAAGACUUAGAGGGCAGAGAAGGAUGUAAUCAAAAUCUUCGUCAUCUCCGGCUUCCGAAGCUCCCUUCCAAAGUGCCCUCAAGGGCCUGGAACACUCUCAGUGACAGAGGCAAGAGCCCCAUCUUGCCCCAGUGCUGCCCAUCAAAAUGGACCCCUAAAUCCUGGCCCAGCCUCCCAGCGCAGAUCUCUCCUUCCUCCUGUAGCCCCAACUAAUGUCUGUCUGGAAUUUGAGGGGCCCUGGUCUGGCACACUGUGGAUGCUUAGUUAAUGUAUGGUGACUGACUAAUGUGUGGCCCCAGGCCUGCCCCCC